UUUUUUUGGCUAAAAAUAAAUAUGACCAUUAAUAAAGGUCUAAGCCCAAGGAGAGUUACAAAACAGGAUGAAGGCCCAAAUAAAACUACAAAUACUACCCAAGGCCCAUAACCCAUGCCAAAAGAAAACAACCCGACUUACAACCGGGCACAGGAUCCACGUAGAGGAUAUGAACCAACAAAACAUUGCAAGCGUCACAGAUUAUCUCUUGGUAGAAUAAGUAUGUUCAGAUCUACCCAUCACCG
This 245-nucleotide long non-coding RNA is filed under the name Manihot esculenta (cassava). Its description in RNAcentral is "long non-coding RNA (MESC_LNC000377)". Lineage: Eukaryota; Viridiplantae; Streptophyta; Magnoliopsida; Malpighiales; Euphorbiaceae. The record is from RNAcentral.